Molecule: small RNA, 58 nt
Filed under: Arabidopsis thaliana (thale cress)
Lineage: Eukaryota; Viridiplantae; Streptophyta; Magnoliopsida; Brassicales; Brassicaceae
Description: ATSL261640
Source: RNAcentral
AACAAUUAUAAUAUAAUUAUAUAAUCUUAAACACUAAACAAAAUUAACAAUAUUAAAA